RNAcentral lists this long non-coding RNA (555 nucleotides) under Meleagris gallopavo (turkey). RNAcentral's name for it is "lncRNA (ENSMGAG00000021707.1)". Lineage: Eukaryota; Metazoa; Chordata; Aves; Galliformes; Phasianidae. The record is from RNAcentral.
AUGCUUAAAGGAAAUAUUUAUCAGCGAUACAAAUCUUUAAUCUUCAAAACAGCGACAGACCUUAGAGGAGACAAACCAGAAAGAAAACAAACAAGGCCCAACCAACACCUCUUCCUACCCCGCCUGGGCUCACUUCUGCACUUCUCCUCUAAGGAAACAACCCCCAUAUCUUAUUCUGAGGCACCCAAAGGCCUCGAACACGGCCCAGCAUCACUGAUGUGUCACGCAGACCUCAUCCCACUGCAAUGGGUCGGUCCUGGUGACAGAGGAGGUCACAAUCCCAGGGACAGUUACACAAACACAACCAUACAUGUUGUCAAGCAGACAGCACCAAGCCAUCCCACAGACCAGCACGCUGCCUAUGUUAAUGAUACCAACAUCACUCAAGCAAUAUUGCUCCUGCAAUUCAAGGCACUCCGGAGUGCAGAAUUAUCUCCGUGCAGCAGCAAGGAACACACAGCUGAACUCACUGCACUAAUGGCACAGCAUACCAUACUGCGGAGGUUGAUACCACUGUGUGGGAAUGUGAAGUUACCAAGAACAUGGCAGCUCUAG